Molecule: ribosomal RNA, 227 nt
Filed under: uncultured soil bacterium
Lineage: Bacteria
Description: partial 16S ribosomal RNA
Rfam family: Bacterial small subunit ribosomal RNA
Source: RNAcentral
AGAUUGAACGCUGGCGGCAGGCCUAACACAUGCAAGUCGAGCGGCAGCACGGGUACUUGUACCUGGUGGCGAGCGGCGGACGGGUGAGUAAUGCCUAGGAAUCUGCCUGGUAGUGGGGGAUAACGCUCGGAAACGGCGCUAAUACCGCAUACGUCCUACGGGAGAAAGCAGGGGACCUUCGGGCCUUGCGCUAUCAGAUGAGCCUAGGUCGAUUAGCUAGUUGGUGA